AGUAAGACGUAAGGAACCUGCCCCUAUGCCUGGGAUAACUCUGGGAAACGAGAGCUAAUACCGGAUAGGUGAACGGAAGACAUCUUCGGUUCAUGAAAGAUGGGGAACAUCACAGAGGGAUGGCCUUACGGCGCAUUAGCUAGUUGGAGAGGUAGAGGCUCACCAAGGCGAUGAUGCGUAGCCGGCCUGAGAGGGUGAACGGCCACAUUGGGACUGAGACACGGCCCAGACUCCUACGGGAGGCAGCAG
This 249-nucleotide ribosomal RNA is filed under the name uncultured bacterium. RNAcentral describes it as "partial 16S ribosomal RNA". It matches the Rfam family "Bacterial small subunit ribosomal RNA", at positions 109 to 354 of the family's 1533-position model. The record is from RNAcentral.